GGUUCUGAGACUCGAACACUUCCUCUUUCCUCUAGGCAAUGGCAGUGCUGACAGAUCACCCAUAUGCCUCCCUGACCCUCCCAGAUGACGCAGCUGCUGACUGUCUCUUUCUUCGUCCUGGGUUGCCUGGUGUGCCCCCUUUCCUCCUGCACCGUGGAGGUGGGGAUCUGCCCAACAGCCAGGAGCAGGCACUGCAGAAGCUCUCUGAUGUCACCCUGGUACCUGUGUCCUGCUCAGAACUGGAGAAGGCUGGCGCCGGGCUCAGCUCCCUCUGCUUGGUGCUCAGCACACGCCCCCACAGCUGAGGGCCUGGCCUUGGGGUACUGCUGGCCAGGGGUAGGAUAGUAUAGGAAGUAGAAGGGGAAGGAGGGUUAGAUAGAGAAUGCUGAAUAGGCAGUAGUUGGGAGAGCGCCUCAAUAUUGGGGGAAGGGAGAGUGUAGGGAAAAGGAUCCACUGGGUGAGUCCUCCCUCUCAGAACCAAUAAAAUAGAAUUGACCUUUUAGACUGGGCUGUGACUGGUGUCUUAC
RNAcentral lists this long non-coding RNA (527 nucleotides) under Pan troglodytes (chimpanzee). Its description in RNAcentral is "long non-coding RNA NONPTRT015093". The record is from RNAcentral. Lineage: Eukaryota; Metazoa; Chordata; Mammalia; Primates; Hominidae.